CGAAUUGCUUGACGACCAUAGAGCGUUGGAACCACCUGAUCCCAUCCCGAACUCAGUAGUGAAACGACGCAUCGCCGAUGGUAGUGUGGGGUUUCUCCAUGUGAGAGUAGGUCAUCGUCAAGC
Molecule: ribosomal RNA, 123 nt
Filed under: Pseudomonas sp. GV071
Lineage: Bacteria; Pseudomonadati; Pseudomonadota; Gammaproteobacteria; Pseudomonadales; Pseudomonadaceae
Source: RNAcentral